AUUGAACGCUGGCGGCAGGCUUAACACAUGCAAGUCGAACGAGUGGCGGACGGGUGAGUAAUGUCUGGGAAUCUGGCUGAUGGAGGGGGAUAACUACUGGAAACUGUAGCUAAUACCGCGUACCAUAGGAUGAGCCCAAGUGGGAUUAGGUAGUUGGUGGGGUAAUGGCUCACCUAGCCGACGAUCCCUAGCUGGUCUGAGAGGAUGACCAGCCACACUGGGACUGAGACACGGCCCAGACUCCUACGGGAGGCAGCAGUGGGGAAUAUUGCGCAAUGGGGGCAAGCCUGACGCAGCCAUGCCGCGUGAAUGAAGAAGGCCUUCGGGUUGUAAAGUUCUUUCGGUAGGGAGGCGUUACUCACAGAAGAAGCACCGGCUAACUCCGUGCCAGCAGCCGCGGUAAUUC
RNAcentral lists this ribosomal RNA (406 nucleotides) under uncultured bacterium. Its description in RNAcentral is "partial 16S ribosomal RNA". It matches the Rfam family "Bacterial small subunit ribosomal RNA", at positions 30 to 526 of the family's 1533-position model. The record is from RNAcentral.